UACGGGGGGGGCAAGCGUUGUUCGGAAUUACUGGGCGUAAAGGGUUCGUAGGUGGCCAACUAAGUCAGACGUGAAAUCCCUCGGCUCAACCGGGGAACUGCGUCUGAUACUGGUUGGCUUGAGUGCAGGAGAGGAACGCGGGAUUCCAGGUGUAGCGGUGAAAUGCGUAGAUAUCUGGAGGAACACCGGUGGCGAAGGCGGCGUUCUGGACUGCAACUGACACUGAGGAACGAAAGCCAGGGGAGCAAACGGG
This 253-nucleotide ribosomal RNA is filed under the name uncultured bacterium. RNAcentral's name for it is "partial 16S ribosomal RNA". It matches the Rfam family "Bacterial small subunit ribosomal RNA", at positions 524 to 776 of the family's 1533-position model. The record is from RNAcentral.